RNAcentral lists this long non-coding RNA (1678 nucleotides) under Marmota monax (woodchuck). The record is from RNAcentral. Lineage: Eukaryota; Metazoa; Chordata; Mammalia; Rodentia; Sciuridae.
GUGCUAUUAUAAAUGGUAGUUUUUUUUUUUUUUUUAAAUUCAAGUGUUAACUCUUUAUCGCUGGCUAUAGGAAUACAAUUGAAUUUUGUGUAUUGACUUACAUUUAUCCUGCCACUUCACCAGUUCAUUUACUAGUUGUAGGAGAUUUCUGUAGCCAGGAAUACAAUUGGCCAAGAUAUUUUGUCUUGUCACACUGUCCUGUUCAGGGAAAAAAACUACAUCUUUUGUGCCUGUUCAUUCCCCUUGGAAAAUGUUUAUUGAGCUCUUAGUAAGUGUUCAGUACCUUCAUGGAUGAAGCUAGAACUAGGUGCUGAUAAACAGCUAACAGAAGAGGUAGAAAUGGUGACUCCUUGCUCUAGUUUGGAUUUUUUUUUUUGUGUGUGUACCAGGGUUUGAACCCUGGGGUGUUUAACUAUUGAGACACAUUCCCACUCCUCUUUUAUUUUUAUUUUGAGACAGGGUCUUGCUAAGUUGCUGAGGCUGGUCUUGAACUUGUGAUCCUCCUGCCUCAGCCUCCCAAGUUUCUGGGAUUAUAGGUGUGCACUACACUACGGUGCCUGGCUCUAGUUUGAAUCUUAAAUAUUCUCCAGAGGCCCGUGUCCCCAAGGUGGGGGCUAUCGGGAGAUGGUAGAAUUUAGGAGGUGGGGUUUAGAGGGAGGUCUUUAGGACUUUGGGGGUGUACCCUGGAGGACAUGGUGGGAUCCCAGUUUCUUCCUUUCCUCUCUUCGUGGCAUGAGGUGAAUGGUUUUCUCCUCCAUGGACUCCUGCCACCAUGGGCUACCUCACCAUAGGCUCACAAGCAACAGGGCCAACUGACCAUGGAUGGGAACCUCCAUAUAUGUGAGUCAAAACAAACCCUCUCUUGGCUUGAAUUUCUUUUGCACCUUUGUCAAAAACCUUUGUAAUUACCUCAGGCCCAUUGCUAUAGUGACGGAAAGCUGACUGACAUACUCCUCUUCAGGAACUGGAAAUCUGGUGGUGAAGAAAACCUCCUGGGUAUGCACACAGAAUGCAGAGUAAGGUCAUGCAAGUAUAUGUGAGCUGUGAGAGCCCAAUCCCGAGGCUGGAAAGUCGGAGAAGACCUCGAGGAGGAAGAAAGGAUCUGGGCUAGUUACUGCCAGGCAGGUAGGGCUUGCAGAAGGGAGGCAAAGGGCACUUCAGCAGGGAAGAGCAGCCUGAGUCCUGGGCAGGGACGGCUUGUGUGGGGAACAAUGCUUCGGGCACUCAGCGCAGAGCAGAAGUUCCUGGGGAGGGCCUCUGUCCAAGUGAUGGCCCAGGGAGGCUGAGCCCCUGGUGGGUGCAGUUUGGUGUGUGUCGCAGGCUCUGGGAAGAUAUUUUUCUGGCUGAAGGAGCAGAAUCUUUAUACACAAGUUCAGUUUAAGUAUAUUUGAGAGGUUUUGUUCAAAGUAAUACAAUCCUAGACCAGGGACUCUUUCAAGAUUCACUAAUCUCUGGGAGAAUAGGCACACACACAUCCUUGUACACCCACCCACACACACACAUCCUUGUACACCUACACACUUGAAAGUGGACUUUAUUUUGAAGUGAAAAAUAGAAAAUGUUCAAAGGACCCAUGCUUAGAUGAAAAUCGAGUGUUCUCUGAGCAAGUAAUAACAAAUUAUCUUUGGACUUAAUUUAUAGCCUUUUAAUGGCGAAAGGGGGAGGAAAUGAGAAUAAG